GAUGAAGAACGUAGCGAAAUGCGAUAAGUAAUGUGAAUUGCAGAAUUCAGUGAAUCAUCGAAUCUUUGAACGCACCUUGCGCUCCUUGGUAUUCCGAGGAGCAUGCCUGUUUGAGUGUCAUGAAAUUCUCAACCUUUUCAGCUUUCUUUGUUGAUCAGGCUUGGAUGUGGGAGUAUGCGGACUUCUCAGAAGUCGGCUCUCCUGAAAUGCAUUAGCGGGACCUUUGUUGCCUGGAUUUGGUGUGAUAAUUAUCUACGCCAUUGUAGUCAAGCAGCUUAAAAUGAGGUUUCAGCUUCUAACCGUCUCCCCUGAGACAACUUUUUGACAAUUUGACCUCAUAUCAGGUAGGACUACCCGCUGAACUUAAGCAUAUCAAUAAGCGGAGGA
Molecule: unclassified non-coding RNA, 387 nt
Filed under: soil metagenome
Description: partial contains 5.8S ribosomal RNA, internal transcribed spacer 2, and large subunit ribosomal RNA
Rfam family: 5.8S ribosomal RNA (bases 1-120)
Source: RNAcentral